This 197-nucleotide ribosomal RNA is filed under the name uncultured bacterium. Its description in RNAcentral is "partial 16S ribosomal RNA". It matches the Rfam family "Bacterial small subunit ribosomal RNA", at positions 335 to 524 of the family's 1533-position model. The record is from RNAcentral.
ACUCCUACGGGAGGCAGCAGUGGGGAAUAUUGGACAGUGGGCGAAAGCCUGAUCCAGCCAUGCCGCGUGCGUGAAGAAGGUCUUCGGAUUGUAAAGCACUUUAAGUUGGGAGGAAGGGCAGUAAAUUAAUACUUUGCUGUUUUGACGUUACCGACAGAAUAAGCACCGGCUAACUCUGUGCCAGCAGCCGCGGUAAU